GAGCUGCAUCUAGGAAAUCUGAGGCUGCCAUGCUGUGAGGAAGCCCAAACCAACCCCACAAGGGGAACACAUGGAGAGUCCUGAGAGCACAGAGAGAGCCGAGGCUAGCAGCCCCCAGCUGGGCUGGCCCCUGGCUGCUCCAGCACCAGCCACCGUCUAACUGCGACUGCAUGAGAGCCAAGCCAGGAUUGUCCAGCCAAGCUGUUGCCAAAUUCCUGCCCACAGAAACCAUGAGAGACGAUAAAUGACUGCUGUUGUUUUAGACCACCAGGCACUGGAAGUGACGUGCUCCGUGGGAAUGGAGAACAGAGUGAGCUCUAACGGCAACACAAUUUAACUGAUCACUCAGUGUGUACUGGGCUUGGGACUAGAUGCCGUGGAUACGAAAAUGGCAAAGCACCAAUGUGCCCUUGAGGGACAUACUGGACCCUGGAUUCACAUCCAAGACUGGCUGGCUCCUAGAUUCAAGGCCUCAAAGGUGGCACCUCUCUUUGGCUCAGGGAAGCAGAGGAUGUGGAACCCCUAGAAAAAGUCAUUUGACCGGGAGUUCGACCACUUCCCAUGACGUGCGCUGACCACCAGGAGGUGGCGUGGAACAUGGCAGGCAUCGGUGACAUGCUGCGACCUCUCGCUGGCUACCUGGGGAUGGGGGGCAGGGGGGGCGGGGAUGGAGGUGCAGUGAAAAUGCUGGGUGUCCGCCCGAGCUCACUCACUCCCCCUGCUACCCUCUCCGGGGAUGCCAGGGCUUGAGUGCCGGGGAAGCCCCCGCACUCAGGUGCCGGAUGCCUGCGAGGAGCCCAUCCCACACUGGCACGGUGUCUUCCAGGUGAGCUGGGCUGCAGCCGCCAGGACUGCAGGGGCCAGUUGGGCUCCUUGUGGGUUUGUGCAGGAGCUGGUCUGCAAAGCUGGCCGGGAGAGAGCCCGCUGCCCGCCCAGCUUCCUUGCUACGCCA
Molecule: long non-coding RNA, 952 nt
Organism: Myotis myotis
Lineage: Eukaryota; Metazoa; Chordata; Mammalia; Chiroptera; Vespertilionidae
Exons: 4
Source: RefSeq, a predicted model, not a curated record